Molecule: ribosomal RNA, 496 nt
Filed under: uncultured bacterium
Lineage: Bacteria
Description: partial 16S ribosomal RNA
Rfam family: Bacterial small subunit ribosomal RNA
Source: RNAcentral
GAUGAACGCUGGCGGCGUGCCUAAUACAUGCAAGUCGAGCGAACGGACGAGAAUCUUGCUUCUCUGAUGUUAGCAGCGGACGGGUGAGUAACACGUGGAUAACCUCCCUAUAAGACUUGGAUCACUUCGGGAAACCGUAGCUCAUACCAGAUAAUAUUUUUAACCGCAUUGUUCAAAAGUGUAAGACGGUCUUGCUGUCACUUAUAGAUGUAUCCGCUCUGCAUUAGCUAGUUGGUAUGGUAACGGCUUACCAAGGUAACGAUGCAUAGCCGACUUGAGAGGGGGACGGGCCAAAAGGGAACUGGGCCACGGUCCAGACGCGUACGGGCGGAAGCAGUAGGGGAUGGUACGAGAUGGGAGAAAGCCUGACGGAGCAAAGGCGCGUGGGUGAGGAGGGUCUUCGGAUCGGAAAACUUUGUUAUUAGGAAAGAACAUAUGCGAAAGUGACUGUGCACAGCUGGAGGGAACCGAAUCAGAAAGCCACGCCUAACUCCGU